UGGGGAAUAUUGCGCAAUGGGCGAAAGCCUGACGCAGCAACGCCGCGUGAGUGAUGAAGGCCUUCGGGUCGUAAAGCUCUGUCGGAGGGAACGAAUGCUCCUGAAGUUAACAGCUUCAGGAUGUGACGGUACCCUCAAAGGAAGCACCGGCUAACUCUGUGCCAGCAGCCGCGGUAAUACAGAGGGUGCAAGCGUUGUUCGGAAUCAUUGGGCGUAAAGGGCGCGUAGGCGGCAAUUCAAGUCAUCUGUGAAAUCUCCGGGCUUAACUCGGAACGGUCAGAUGAUACUGCUUUGCUAGAGUGCAGAAGGGGCAAUCGGAAUUCUUGGUGUAGCGGUGAAAUGCGUAGAUAUCAAGAGGAACACCUGAGGUGAAGACGGGUUGCUGGGCUGACACUGACGCUGAGGCGCGAAAGCCAGGGGAGCAAACGGGAUUAGAUACCCAAGUAGUCCCUGAGCGGGCUGGCAAGGCGCAU
RNAcentral lists this ribosomal RNA (473 nucleotides) under uncultured bacterium. RNAcentral describes it as "bacterial SSU rRNA". It matches the Rfam family "Bacterial small subunit ribosomal RNA", at positions 355 to 825 of the family's 1533-position model. The record is from RNAcentral.